UACAGAGGUCCCAAGCGUUGUUCGGAUUCACUGGGCGUAAAGGGUGCGUAGGUGGUCAGGUAAGUCUGAUGUGAAAGCUCUGGGCUCAACCCAGAAAUGGCAUUGGAUACUAUCUGGCUAGAGGAAUGGAGGGGGGACUGGAAUACUUGGUGUAGCAGUGAAAUGCGUAGAUAUCAAGUGGAACACCAGUGGCGAAGGCGAGUCCCUGGACAUUUCCUGACACUGAGGCACGAAAAGCUAGGGGAGCAAACAGG
This 254-nucleotide ribosomal RNA is filed under the name uncultured bacterium. RNAcentral describes it as "partial 16S ribosomal RNA". It matches the Rfam family "Bacterial small subunit ribosomal RNA", at positions 524 to 776 of the family's 1533-position model. The record is from RNAcentral.